RNAcentral lists this long non-coding RNA (3989 nucleotides) under Varroa destructor (honeybee mite). RNAcentral describes it as "uncharacterized LOC111253378". The record is from RNAcentral. Lineage: Eukaryota; Metazoa; Arthropoda; Arachnida; Mesostigmata; Varroidae.
CCAAUUUUCGGGGAUUAUUCAAUCCACUAUGACAAAUCUAUUAGCAAAACUUGUGCCCAUUAAAAGAAUAGUUUAUAUAACUUUAAUAAUAGUUUUAUACAUACGUAAAAUAGGGCUAACAUUUGUUCAGACAGCUAUCCAAAAACAAAACGAGAGUUUAACGUCGUGCUUUGGAAACUACUUUUUGUUUUUAUAGUGGAGGCAACACGAUAAUAUCAAAUCAGUGCAGAUUGAUAACUAAGAUAUAAUAGACCAGUAUAAUGGAGAUACCGGUAUCGGGAUUCUGCAUCUCAACGAAAAUAAGCAAUUUAAAGAGCGAUAGUAGGCAUAGAAAACUAAUCGCGUGUGUCUUUAUUGGUAGUAGAAGGCAUCUUAUAUCAUAAGGUCCUUUGUAGAAUAGGCCCAGUUGACCAUAUGAGUGUAGCACUAGGACUUGAUUGUUUACCAUUAUGUUACCACAGCAUAUGUUUUCAUGUGAACACUGAAACACAUUGAAAUGGGGACAACCGAUCCUGCUAAAGCAAAAUAUCGACCUGAAGCUAUCAUUGAAUUUUUUCAAAAUAAGCAAUUCAUAACGAUAUCCAAUGAUCUCUUUUUGCGUGUUUCACCUUUCACAUGGAACACAUUGUACGGAAUCACAUGAUGGCAAACGCAUCCGCUAAGGAUUGGUACAAUCUGAUGCUUUCAAAGGUCUAGAUCAAAACAGUAAUCUCGAUAAUGAAUACGUCUGCAAUGGAUAUCCGAUACAUAUAUAUCGGGUUGCUGUGUGUAUAUCCAAUAGAUACAAGUAACGUGUAUACGCGUAUAGAAAGAGGACAUCUAAUAUAUCUAAAAGGCAAUCUUUCAAACACUAAAAGUGCCACACAGAUGAUCGUAUUUCGAGUAUCGCGCAGUGCAGAGUUACUACCGCCAUUCUGUUUAUAUGAUGUUAUUAUGGUAUUUCUAUUUGCUGCCUUAUUUAUGUAUUAUUGAAAAAAUAAUGUACAGCCGUUGCGUUCGCGUAUACGUUUGUGAAAAAGAGUUCGCCGGUUGUGAGGCACGCGGAAAUGGGCAUGUUCACAUAAGCCAUAUUAGGCUAUCGUCGUUAAGCAACCUGUUAGGUGGGGGACGGGGGACGACGACAGCUGUACAUCAAUCAUUGUGUUUUAACUGAAAGAAAAUGUUCUUAGUGUGAAAAAAAGCGUGAUUUAAGAGACAGCGCCGUUCGUUUUGGUGCUAUCAAUUAACUAAACGACAAGACGGCGUUUAGUCGUCUUUAAUAUCUAUAUACUCAUACUAGAGUACAUUUAUACCGAAAUUAACUUAUUAAUUAUAUCGAAAAUGUCUAAUGUCACAUGAAAUGAACUAAAUGUCUAAAAGCAACAUGAAAACUCACAAGUCUAUUAAUGGUUUCGAGCUUAGCGGCUAUUUCUUUCAAACCCGCCUUUUAUUACACUAACAUUGUUGCUAUUUUUUUUAAUACUCACUGGGCAAUUUAAGCAAUAGAGUUUACCUUCAAUAACUUCACCAAGUAGAUGAGUGAUAAAUUGCAUUUUUCAGACUAACUAAUCUGAGAAAAAGUCCUAGGUGCAAAAUUUAUGGUCUUGAUGAAUAAUAAUCAUGACAGUAAAAUAUUUUUUUUUCUUCCAGGGGAGACAUUCUACAUGUCCCACCGCAACUACCGCACAGUUUUGAGUCAUUUAUCCAAAAAUGUUUGGUCCCGUUUAUUACCAUUUCUCUACUAGGAAAAUGAAGGGCGACGAAAAAAACGGGACAACGAAACAUGACUAAUGGAAUGGAACAGUGGAAGCGUUCUAUCGUCGUCUUCGUACGGAUCUGCUCUCUGUGUACUUUGUGUUUUCUAUUCUGUUCAUUUUCUAGAGACGACACGUGGACACUUUUAGCCUACAGGUGAAUCGGACUCGCAAAAAAUUGGCACAAAAUGGAAAAUGUCAUUAGUUAGUGGUCUAGCUUAAGCUUCAUCAUGAAGAAAUUGUGAAACUAGGCAAGAACAUUUCAAAACAGUUCAUGGAGUAUCUCAGCAAAUACUAUGAAACAUAACCCUAUGCAGAAAGUGCUUCGUCUUUUGUGUCGACUUUAUUACGCUGUCUGUUAUUCAUCUUCGUAAUGAAGGAUUUACGCCUGCAAAAGCUGCAGGUACGACCUGCAAAUGUGGUAAGUUCGACUCUAAAAAGAGAGCAGACAUCUUUUUAACGUAGUAGGGUACCAAGGCAAAUCAUUAGACUGAAGAGGACCUUACUUCGUUGCAGAAAUGCGACUUUUGUCUUCGAAUGAACACCUUCCGUACGUAAACCCAUACGUAAGUGAAUGCUAAAACAACGUCAACAUCAGCUCAUUGUUAACCACCUAAAACGUUAUUCGUUUUUUUUUUUCCUUUUUUCCGCUAAGACCUACGGUGUGAGUAGAGAAGUAGCAUGCCCAUAGAGCAUAUAGCUUGUUUAACGUAUGUGCCAUUAUUAAAUAAGCCGGUGUCUUGUAAGAACUGUUAUUUUUCGCUAAGUACAGUUUUUUCAGCACGCUUUAAAGGUCAUGACUCUUAAACCUCAAAAUAAUAGCAAUACUUCGAAACAUGUUUUGUAACUUCAAUUGAUAACCUGUUCACGGAUUCAUUUGUUACGGACGAAUAUGGCGAAGGAAUACUUUUGGAAUACUUAUUUAUUCUUUAAUAAUCAUCUAUGAAUUAGACUAAAAGUUUGUUCGAUGUGUUUUCCCAGGUGUAAGGUUCGAUUUAAUUGAUUUCGCUUUUUACUGUACAUGGCACGGAAAUAAUAGCAUUUUUUUUUUUAAUAUUAAGUAUAACACUUUUGUAUUUUUUAUUUACUCUAUGCUUUAGAAAAUAUAGCAAAACUUUUUUUCAAACUCAUAUCAGCACAGAAAAACUCAAUAUAUUCCCUCUCCACUACUGACGAAACUAAUCGGCCGUAUAAUUAAACCAUGUUGUGGCUUGUCCAAUCUACUGUUAAACCAUAGCUGGGGUUAGAAAACGUUAUCGAAGAUUCAUGUAUUUGACGCGUGAUCGUCGCCGAUACUGAAGUAUACGUGCAAACUCUCCUUUCAGAUGCAAGUUCACCAUUAGAAAAAUGGAGAACAUAAACCUAUAGCAGUAUAUUUAGGGACCGACACGUUCAGGUGUUAGCGGUGUAGUCUGGCCGAUCACUACGUAUCUCCGAGUACGUACCAGGAACAUACGGCCAUUGCUGGCUCAAAUUUUAGCUUUAAUUAAGUGCUUGCCAUGCGAUUUCAUACGAGAGUUGGAAAAAUCCCAAAACUCAUCUAAUGGGCAUAGGUCCUUAACUCCUUUAGGCUGGAGGUGAUUCCGAGGACUUGUUCACGCAGUAAUAAUAGCUGCAUUUGUUAAACAUUGGUAUACAAAAAAAACUUUAAUGUUCAUUUAGUCUUCGAUGCUUUAUCAUACCUAUCGAUAGUCUCACUGCACUCCUGGGACAGCGUUCGUCCUGGGAAAGCGUUCCUCCUGGGAAAUAUCAGAAUGUAGAAUACGUUUCCUUAUCGUUAUGCUGGGAAAAUCAAAUAGGCAACAAACUUCGGGACAGUUUUCCCUUGGAACAUGUUAAGCUGCAAAUGACUACAUUUGCCAUCUUUACAGUAAGACGAUAACAUCUUUUCCUAAUUGAAAACCAAGACCAUAUUAUUCGCUUCGUUGCCUAUUUGCUCGUUGUUACUUGCUGCGCCACUCAAUGAUCUCUAACACCGACGAUGGAAUAGGCGAUCCAAGAUAUUAGGGAAUUAGCACUUUAUUAUACGGUGAUUAGUAUAGUCCGUUAAUAACAGCGUUCUAUAGCGGACAAAUGCUUCGAACAACAGCGUCUUCAAUCGGUGGUGGCGUAGCAUCCUCUGAGCAAUUGCCGGAUAGUAUUUAGAGUUUUUGUAGGUAGCGAGUUUGUGUGUAAAAAAAAAAAUUUCUCCGCUUGAUUCAUGUUACAGAUUCUUCUGUUUUACCAAGUCUUUCUCGAACUUACAUCGUUCCCUAC